CGGCGGACGGGUGAGUAAUGCUUAGGAAUCUGCCAUUUAGUGGGGGACAACAUUCCGAAAGGGAUGCUAAUACCGCAUACGCCCUACGGGGGAAAGCAGGGGAUCUUCGGACCUUGCGCUAAAUGAUGAGCCUAAGUCGGAUUAGCUAGUUGGUGGGGUAAAGGCCUACCAAGGCGACGAUCUGUAGCGGGUCUGAGAGGAUGAUCCGCCACACUGGGACUGAGACACGGCCCAGACUCCUACGGGAGGCAGCAGGC
Molecule: ribosomal RNA, 257 nt
Filed under: uncultured Acinetobacter sp.
Lineage: Bacteria; Pseudomonadati; Pseudomonadota; Gammaproteobacteria; Moraxellales; Moraxellaceae
Description: partial 16S ribosomal RNA
Rfam family: Bacterial small subunit ribosomal RNA
Source: RNAcentral